CUUAGUGUGUUUAAUAAAUAAAUAAAGUGGCUAUGCUAAACUGAAUCUUAAUAAUGAAACUCUAGCAUGGAUAUGAUGAAUAGUUUCUCUGCUUAAUUUUUCAAAUUUGAGUUCUCUCACUUGUUUAGACAUAACUGUUAUAAUUUAAAGCUUGCUCUAGACCUAAACUUGUGGGAUGAAAACUUGAUCUAAAGUCUAUGUUUUUAACGGAUGCGAUAUGGGAGCUGCUUAUCUGUUCCUAGAGAUGCUAAAAUUCUGGAGAGUUUUAUCUUUAAAAAUCUUUAAAAUAUUGCAUGAUGAGUUCCUGUAUGAUGAGAGUUUAAAUUCCUACCACAACCAUAUAUACAUGCUUGCUAGACUUUGAGCCACACAUUUACUUUUUACUGCUUAUGAGCAUUGAGUGUGGUCAAGCUGUGUAGACCAUUAGGAGCUUGUCAUGUGGUUAAAUCAAGAUUCACUUGCACGUUCACUCACACUUGCUGCUUCUACUCCAGAAGUACGCAUCCACAUAUAUCCACUCAUUUCCAUCUCCAGAACCAUCCAUAAAUAUUCUACUCCUAAUCCGGGAGAGAAUAGCCAAAAACAUUCUCCUAUUUCUGUUUUUCCCCCGUGAAAUAAAUGCUCAAGUUAUCUUGGUUACUACCACUUGCUAUAUUAUUUCAGGAGAUGAGUGCUCUAAGAAAAAAAUAGAAAAAGAAAAGAUAUGAGGAAAUAAAAAGGGGCAACUGUCCGGAACCUCGUAAGAAAAGAAAAAGUAAGACGAGAGGUAAAAAUGGACAAGUGUCCGACAGUAGAAUUAGGGGUACAAGAUACCCACCUGAGAGGAAAGAAAAAGAAAAGAUAGAGCAUCUCAUUCUCCUCACAAAGUUUCAAAAAGCAAGAAAGUUAUGUAUCCCCUCAAAGAGCAAAAGUAGAAUUAGACUUUCACCAUUGUUAUCACCAUCAUCACCAUACAACAUUCAUUCGCCACACAUGCACAUCUUGAUUUGACUUAUUGAUUUGUUUCUCUGGAUCCAUGGUUUGACUAUGCAAUAAAUGUCUUGUAAGUAUGUAUACUUUAUCUCCCACCUAUGAGCUCCAGAUAUCAAAAGCCUUAUUAGAGUAGGAUGAGAGAGAAGGCAAUGUCACUACGCAUUAUACCACAAAUACUACAUAUUUUGAGAGAAGUCAUAUACCAUCACUGCCUUGGUAAGGAUCUAGAAAUACCACAAAAGAGAGAUAUGGGAGAGUCAUACAAGGAAUCUCUGAGUUUUAUUUGAAAAUUUGCAAAAACUCCAGAGCCAUAGCUGAUCAAGAAUAAGAGACAUGGCACUUGACUAGACUGUUCUAUCAUUUAACUACUCAAGACAAAAGUGACGGUUACAAGUCCCAUGGUGAAAGGUAAAAUGAAUAAUUUUUAAAUCUUGACAGUUUACUCUAACUCAGAGAUGAGACCUCAUUUAAAAGCAUGUGUACCGUCAAUUUUGAAAGGCAUUGCAACAACUUCUGAUCCAUCGCUGAGUCUAUCCUUGGUCAGGGACGAGCAAGAGGUAAGCUUGGGGGAGUUUGUUGACGGUCCCUAAGUAUCAAAUUUAAUUAUCAAAUAAACAAAGAAAAGGAUCCAAAUAAAAUCAACAUCUAGACUUAGGGUUUUAUCUGACAGAAUUCCACGAGUUUUGGUGUUUGUCUAUUUCUGCAGGGGGGUAUCAGGAAAUACGGAAGAAAGGCCCACACGUCGGGAUUACAUAGAGAUAUCAACGUGACGCACAAUUAUCUUACAUCUAGAAGACUCCAGAAGCCACAGGAAGGAAGCGGAGGCCGAACGGAGCUAGGCCCUGGGUGCCCGCCUAGUUGACCUAGGCGCCCGCCCCCUCCUGGAGUCCAAACAGGACUCUCUUUCGGGAAAGAGCUCCACCGACCUAAAGGAUCAAGGAUAACCGUUCAAUCAAUGUUGGUUUGAUCCAACGGCCCAUAUUCACUUGAAGGGACUAUAAAACCAGACCCCCUGGCCCCUGGAGGAGAGAGCCUCUCAACCCUAAUUCAUUAUUCUCAAGGGAGAAGAAGCCUCUGAUCAAGUUUAGAGCCACCACAUCAAUUAGACAUCUAGAUUAGCAUAGCUACAUAGGAUUAGAACUAGAAGGAGUCAAUCUUCAAUUGGUUUCUGGAUCUGUCAAGAGGAUUCUUGGUAAUUCUCUUAUUGUUAUUCUAAUUGUUCUUCAAAUCAUCUUUGUUCUUCAAUAUUAUGAAUAUGACUUUGUUCUACUUCAAUAUAUUGCUUAUGACUUUGCUCUACUUAUUUAUAUUCAAGAUUAUAUUGUUCUUAGUUUAUCAUGGUUAUAUAUUUGGUUUAGUUAGGUUGGAAUUAUAUACAUGAUUAGGAUCGUAUAGCGUUUAUCCAUCGGAUCCAUGGGUAAAUGAUAGAUAUUGUGUAGGCGUGGUGCUUAUACCAUAUUUAUCUGCGAUUGUACCCAAUAUGCCAGAUCGUGGGGUAGUUCGUGAUAGUGACAGCUUCAUUGAUUCUUAUAUAGUCCCCCUCUCGUGUAUUGGGCUGGCAGAACAACAUUAUUAUAGGGGAGUGAUUGCUAUGUUUCUCAUAUUCCUUGCUAAUAUCACUAUGCAUGGGCGUAGUCUUGUCUCGCAAUGAUUGCUAAGUAUGCUUGCCCUAACUAUGAUAAUGCUAGACUAUAUAGUUGAGAAUAACUUAGGAAAUAUUCUUGUAGUUCGUUCUAAUUCCAUGCUAAUGACUUUCUAGAAUAUCUAAUUGAGGUGGUUAUCAUAUUUAUAUGUGGCUAGUUAUGCUGAUCAGAUUAAUUAUCUUUGUCACUAUUCAUUACUUGAUAUAUCUUUUCUGUGACACUUACCCCUGUAUGAAAGAGUUAGAUAAAUGUUCUCAAUUAUACAUGCAAUGAUAGAUACUCAAUCUCAUAUUCCGUUCUAUAAUCAAUUUUGAUGAUUGCUAAUCCCUUCCCAGUGGUAAAAAUAUAAAUAACGAUACCUCGAAUACUCCCCGGUGAAAAUGCUACAUCGGAAUUAAUCUGUGCGCUUGCAGAUCCCAUUCAUUAUUUAUUUAGAAGAGCAAUUGCAUAUUUCAAUACAGUGUCUCUCAUGUCAUGCUGGGGAUGACAACUUGGCUUAAGUGGUACGAGGGAUAGGUUUGGCAUUUUUUGCACCGUUAUCAGAAUUAGAAAACUAAGUCUACUUUUGGUAAUAAUGUUAAGAAUACCCAACAGUGGGCACUCUGCUCCACAAACUUUUUGGCUAAGUUCUUUCCCAUGAGCAAGACCAAUGCUCUCUGUGGGAAAAUUACAUGUUUCCAGCAACAACAUGAUGAAUCCGUUCCAGAAGCAUAGGAGCACUUCCAGGACUACAUCCUAGAAUGUCCCUAUCAUGGAAUGGAGAGCUGGCUACUGAUGCCGACGUUUUAUCAUGGGCUCGGCAAUAGUGCCCGAGAGACCAUGGAUGCUGCAGCUGGAGGAGCAUUCCUAUCACUCACCAUAUCACAAGCCACAACUCUUGUGGAGAAGAUGGCGUCCAACCAACGCCGGAAUGAAGAAAAGACCCAGACACGCAAGAGAGGUGGAGGUAUGCAUCAGCUCAAGGAGGUAGACAUGCUGUCUGCAAAGCUAGACCUACUCAUGAAGAAGCUCGAUGAUAAAGCUGGAGACAAGAAAGAAGUUAUGCACAUCUAUGACUCUCACAUGACUUGUGAGGAGUGUGGAGAUACUGGACACUCAGGCAAUCACUGCCCUGAGAUGCUUGAGGAUGUGAACUACAUCAACAACAACAAUAACAAUUACUACAACCAUCCUCAACAAAAUCAAGGCUGGAAUCAACAGAGGCCUAACUACUCAGGUAAUUAUCAAGGUAACAAUUCUUACAACAAUAAUAAUAAUUUUCCACCUCUGAGAGAGUUAGUGUCUAAUCAAGGAAAGCUAAUGGAUAACCUAUCUAAGAAAUUGGCAUCUAAUGAUAAAAUGUUAGAAAAUAUAAAUAAUAGAAUGGAUAAUUUAUCUACUACCAUCAAGAAUCAAAUUAGCUUUAAUAAAAAUAUUGAAUCUCAGUUAAAUCAAAUAGCUGUUGCUGUUCCUGCUACUAACCCAGGUAUACCAUCACAACCGGAAGGAUUAGAAUCUGCAGAUCUUGUAGACAUGUUUGAUGCAGGUAACUACUGGAGUAACCCCGUCACUGAAGUUACUACUGACCUUCUCCCGGUCAAGAGAGGCGAUCCAGGACGCCCCGUCAUCCCGAUCUCCAUCGGCAUGGUGGACUUCCCAGAAGCACUCUGUGACUUUGGCUCUAGUGUCAACAUUAUGCCCAGGGUACUCUAUGGAAACUUCUUUACAUAUCCUUUAUUUGAAACAACCAUGUGUUUGCAGUUUGUAGAUCAAACGCUAAGUUUCCCAAAUGGAAUAUUAAAGAACCUCUGUUUCCGAGUUGGUACCUUGUAUGCCCCAGCAGACUUCGUGGUGAUAGAGACCGGUAAUGAUGAGAGGGCACCCGUCAUCUUAGGGAGGCCAUUCCUGAACACCUUGGGAGCUGUCAUCUACGCUAGUGCUGCCAAUAUCAAUUUCUACAUCAAAGGGUGAAAGGAGACGUUUACCUUGAAGAACAAGACUACACAAAUCCCAGAGCAAUCCCAACAUGAACCAAGGAAGAGGACCAACGGGAGGAACAGGAACAAGCAAGUGUGGACAGAGUCAGCUAAGAUGGUCACUGCAGUUCAUGGAGGUCAAGAUCAUCGACUCAAGUCACCGUUUCUGACCAAGAAGGAUGACCCAGGAAUGCCAAGCAUUCAUUGCUCCAUCAAUGGGUACAACUUCUACAAGACACUUUGCGACACCGGAUCGGGCGUCAAGAUAAUGGCCGCAGUCACCUAUCAGCUCUUGUUCGGAACCAUGCCCUUCAAACCAACAUACAUUCAGCUCUAGAUGGCAGAUCAGACAUUCCGAAAGGUUGAAGGUAUAGUAACUGAUGUCUCUGUCAAAAUAGAUGAUCAUUUUGUCCAUACAGACUUUUAGGUUAUUAACAUGGGAGAAGACGAGUACGACCCACCCAUCAUCCUUGGGAGACCUUUCCUCAGCACCGUUAAAGCAAUUAUCUACAUUGAAACCAGAGAACUCCACAUGCACUUCCCCUCAGAGAAGGUACGCCGCUAUUUUACUGACCCUAAUUAUAUCAUUGAAGACCAGGUCAGGACAAGAAGAAGACGACGCAAGAGGAGGCAAAUCAUCAAGGACGGAUGGGCAGACUACGAAGGAGAAGUUGUAAGGUCUGAAGACAUACAGCUUGAACAGAAUUGUCCUAAGGAGACCGUAGCACCGAGUCAGGUGUGGAGAGAGAAGAUAGAUAUACAUGAAGAAGAGGCGCCGCCGGAACCACCUACUACGACAUCCAGUGAAUUCCAGGAUGACUAAGAAAACAGAGAGUCCCGUUCGGAGGACUUAAAAACACCGAACGCCUUGCCAAGAGGUAAACUUGGUAGUUAUCCUUUUCCUUUCAACUAUUUCAAAAAGUCCACUUAGUUAAUUAGGUACGUACUAUCCUAAAAAAGAAAAUAAAAAUGUUAAAAAAUAGUAAGCCCCAUGUGAGUAUACAAGUGGCAUAAAACCCAUAAGUACAUUCACUGUGGUGGCAUAAAAAUAAAAUACAUAUAUUCGUCCUCUAUAAAAUUAAAAUAUAAAAAUAGAGAGUAACACUUAUUGAGGAGGCUCAACAUGAUAAAGGCCAGAUAUUUAUGCUAACACCUAAUCAGUUCCACAAAGAUUUGUUGUCUAUUUGAGCUUUCACGGUACUGCCAACUUUCAAAGACACCUCUGCCACCUGCUAGCUACAUGAGAAGAAAUUACGUCAAAAUUCAGCUUGGGGGAGAGCACCCCCAUUUAUCCCGCUAAGUAUUUCUAUCUACAUUUAUACAUAUACUACAUUAAAAUAUAAAUAUACAUAACCAUGAAAAACCAAAUAAAGAAUUUGUGCUUAUAUAUAUCUUUUGCUUAGUAUGCUUAAUAAAUAAAUAAAGUGGCUAUGCUAAACUGAAUCUUAAUAAUAGAACUCUAGCAUGCAUAUGAUGAAUAGUUAUUGUGCCUAAUUUUCAAAUUUGAAGUUCUCUCUAGUUUAGACAUAACUGUUAUAAUUUAAAGCUUGCUCUAGACCUGAACUUGUGGGAAGAGAACUUGAUCUGAAGUCUAAGUUGUUAACGGAUAUGAGAUGGGAAGGUUGAGCUGCUGUUUAUCUGUUCCUAGAGAUGCUAGAAAUCUGGAGAAUUUUACCUUUGAAAAUCUUUAAAAUAACACAUGAUGAGUUCCUGUAUGAUGAGAGUUUAAAUUCCUACCAUAGCCAUAUAUGCAUGCUUGCUAGACUUUGAGCCACACAUUUAUUUUUUUUACUACUUAUGAGCAUUGAGUAUGGUCAAGCUGUGUAGACCCUUAGGAGCUUGUCAUGUGGUUAAAUCAAGAUUCACUUGCACGUUCACUCACACAUGCUGCUUCUACUCCGGAAGUACGCAUCCACAUAUAUCCACUCAUUUCCAUCUCCAGAACCACCCAAAAGUAUUCUACUCCUAAUCCGGGAGAGAAUAGCCAAAAUAUUUCAGUUUUUCCCUAUGAAACAAAUGCUCAAGUUAUCUUGGUUACUACCACUUGCUACAUUAUUUCAAGAAAUGAGUGCUCUAAAAAAAGAAGAAGAAAAAGUAUACGAGGAAAUAAAUAGGGGCAAGUGCCCGGAACCUCGAAAGAAAAUAAAAAGUGAGACGAGAGGUAAAAAUAUACAAGUGUCCGACAGUAGAAUUAGGGGUACAAGAUACCCACCUGUGAGGAAAGAAAAAGAAAAUAUAAAGCAUCUCACUCUCCUCAAAAGUUUCAAAAGAGCAAGAAAGGUAUGUAUUCCCUCAAAAGAGCAAAAGUAUAAUUAGAAUUUCACCAUUGUUAUCACCAUCAUCACCAUACAUCAUUCAUUCGCCACACAUUCUCAUCUUGAUUUGACUUAUUGACUUGUAUCUUUGGAUCCAUGGUUUGACUAUGCAAUAAAUGUCUUAUAAGUAUGUAUACUUUAUCUCCCACCUAUGAGCUCCAGAUAUCAAAGCCUUAUUAGAGUAGGGUGAGAGAGAAGGCAAUGUCACUAUGCCUCGUACCAAAAAUACCA
Molecule: long non-coding RNA, 7116 nt
Filed under: Sorghum bicolor (sorghum)
Lineage: Eukaryota; Viridiplantae; Streptophyta; Magnoliopsida; Poales; Poaceae
Description: long non-coding RNA (SBIC_LNC014169)
Source: RNAcentral